This 467-nucleotide ribosomal RNA is filed under the name uncultured bacterium. RNAcentral's name for it is "partial 16S ribosomal RNA". It matches the Rfam family "Bacterial small subunit ribosomal RNA", at positions 29 to 507 of the family's 1533-position model. The record is from RNAcentral.
ACGCACGCUGGCGGCGUGCUUCACACAUGCAAGUCGAACGGAAAGGCCCUGCUUUUUUGGGGUGCUCGAGUGGCGAACGGGUGAGUAACACGUGAGUAACCUGCCCUUGACUUUGGGAUAACUUCAGGAAACUGGGGCUACUACCGGAUAGGAGCUCCUUCUGCAUGGUGGGGGUUGGAAAGUUUCGGUGGUUGGGGAUGGACUCGCGGCUUAUCAGCUUGUUGGUGGGGUAGUGGCUUACCAAGGCUUUGACGGGUAGCCGGCCUGAGAGGGUGACCGGCCACAUUGGGACUGAGAUACGGCCCAGACUCCGACGGGAGGCAGCAGUGGGGAAUAUUGCACAAUGGGCGGAAGCCUGAUGCAGCAACGCCGCGUGCGGGAUGACGGCCUUCGGGUUGUAAACCGCUUUCGCCUGUGACGAAGCGUGAGUGACGGUAAUGGGUAAAGAAGCACCGGCUAACUACGUG